CCCUCCUAUUUCUGCCCCACAUUCUUUACGCUACCAUAGAAUAAUGGGUUCUAUUAAUGGAGAAGAGAAAGCCUGCUAACGCAUUACCUACACUUUUGAUACAACCGUGGGUUUUUGUGUUGACAGGAUCGUGUGUAAGGGCCAAACACCUUUAAGAUUAGCUAAUUAUCUUAGAGAUAUGGUGCUUCACUACAUUU
This is a small nucleolar RNA of 197 nucleotides. It matches the Rfam family "Small nucleolar RNA snR43".